CUUCUGCACCACCGCAUACGUGUCGGCCAUGGUGAGGGCCGGGGGCCCAGGCACGGAGAGGCUUCUGCGAGUGGGGAAGGCGGGGGAGGAAGUGAAAUGACUGAGCGGAGGGAGGGGGUGGGGAGUGCGCCUAGCUUGCAAACCGCGGGCUUCCUUCCCACCCAAGGCGCUAGCAGGUCAGGUCGAAGAGAGCAGGUGGGCAGGUCUCAGAGGAGAGAGGAUGGGGUCUCUGGAUGAGGGGAGUUCGGUUCUGUCUCUCGAGCGCCUGGCAAGUUAGCUGCAGGCCGCUGCUUUCUCAUCUCCAGGACCACGUUGAAGAGGCUGAAGUUAGGUGGGAUCAUCUGAGACAGAGAAGGCAAAGGAUCUGCACUAGAGGAACUACAGAACACUUAUGAAAGAAACUGAAGAAGACACAAAAACAUGGAAAACCAUUCCAUGCUCAUGGAUUGGAAGAAUAAACAUUGUUAAAAUGUCUAUACUACCUAGAACAAUCUGUACUUUUGAUGCCAUCCCAAUCAAAAUUCCACCAGCAUUUUUCAAAGAGCUGGAACAAACAAUCAUAAAAUUUGUAUGGAACCAGAAGGGACCCCGCAUUGCUAAGGAAAUGUUGAAAAAGAAAAACAAAACUGGGGGUAUCAUGUUGCCUGAUUUCAAGCUUUACUACAAAGCUGUGAUCACCAAGACAGCAUAGUACUGGCACAAAAACAGAUACAUAGACCAGUGGAGCAGAGUAGAGAGCCCAGAUAUAGACCCACAACUCUAUGGUCAAAUAAUAUUUGACAAAGGAGGAAAAAUUGUACAGUGGAAAAAAGACAGUCUCUUUAAUAAAUGGUGCUGGGAAAAUUGGACAACUACAUAUAGAAGAAUGAAAGUCGACCAUUCUCUUACACCAUACACAAAGAUAAACUCAAAAUGGAUAAAAGACCUCAAUGUGAGGCAGGAAUCUAUCAAAAUCCCAGAAGAGAACAUAAGCAGUAAUCUCUUUGACAUAGGCCACAGCAACUUCUUUCAAGAUAUGUCUCCAAAAACAAAGGAAACAAAAGUAAAAAUGAACUUUUGGGACUUCAUCAGGAUAAGCUUCUGAACAGCAAUGGAAACCAUCAACAAAACAAAGAGGCAACCCACGGAAUGGGAGAAGAUAUUCGCAAAGGACACUACAGACAAAGGGCUGAUAUCCAAGAUCUAUAAAGAACUCCUCAAACUCAACACACACAAAGCAGAUAAUCAUGUCAACAAAUGGGCAAAAGACAUGAAUAGACACUUCUCCAAUGAAGACAUACAAAUGGCUAAGAGACAUAUGAAAAAAUAUUCAUCAUCAUUAGCCAUCAGGGAGAUUCAAAUCAAAACUACUUUGAGAUAUCAACUUACACCAGUUAGAAUGGCCAAAAUUAACAAGACAGUAAACAAUGUGUGUUGGAGAAGAUGUGGAGAAAGGGGAACCCUCUUACACUGUUGGUGGAAAUGCAAGUUGGUGCAACCACUUUGGAGAACAAUGUAGAGAUUCCUUAAGAAAUUAAAAAUAGAGCUUCCCAAGACCCUGCAAUUGCACUACUGGGUAUUUACCCCAAAGAUACAGAUGUAGUAAAAAGAAGGGCCAUCUGUACCCCAAUGUUCAUAGCAGCAAUGGCUAUAGUCACCAAACUGUGGGAAGAACCAAGAUACCCUUCAAUGGAUAAAGAAGAUAUGGUCCAUAUAUAAAAUGGAGUAUUAUGCCUCCAUCAGAAAGGAUGAAUACCCAAUUUUUAUAUCAACAUGGACAGGACUGGAAGAGAUUAUGCUGAGUGAAAUAAGUCAAGCAUAGAGAGUCAAUUAUCAUAUGGUUUCACUUACUUGUGGUGCAUAAGGAAUAACAUGGAGGACACUGGGAGAUGGAGCAGAGAAAUGAGUUGAGGUGGAGACAAACCAUGAGGGACUGUGGACUGAGAAACAAAAUGAGGCUUUUAGAGGGAAGGGGGCUUGGGGGUUGGGUGAGCCUCAUGGUGGGUAUUAUGGAGGGCACGUAUUACAGGGAGUACUGGAUGUGGUGCAUAAACAAUGAAUGCUGGAACACUGAAUAGAAAUAAAAUGAAAAAAAAAAGCACAUUUAUCAUGAUGGUCAUGGAGUAAUAUUUAGAAUUGCUGAAUUACUAUAUUAUACACUUAAACUAAUAUGACACUGUAUGUGAACUAUACUGGAAUUAAAAUAAAAAAUUAAAAAAAUAAGAAAAAGACAAUCUAAAGUAAAAAUAAUAGUGCAUUGUGGAGUAUAUUUCAUAUUUAGAAUUAAAACCUAUGGCAACAGUAACAU
Molecule: long non-coding RNA, 2287 nt
Organism: Mustela lutreola (European mink)
Lineage: Eukaryota; Metazoa; Chordata; Mammalia; Carnivora; Mustelidae
Exons: 3
Source: RefSeq, a predicted model, not a curated record